AUGAACGCUGGCGGCGUGCCUAAUACAUGCAAGUCGAGCGAACAGACGAGGAGCUUGCUCCUCUGACGUUAGCGGCGGACGGGUGAGUAACACGUGGAUAACCUACCUAUAAGACUGGGAUAACUUCGGGAAACCGGAGCUAAUACCGGAUAAUAUAUUGAACCGCAUGGUUCAGUAGUGAAAGACGGUUUUGCUGUCACUUAUAGAUGGAUCCGCGCCGCAUUAGCUAGUUGGUAAGGUAACGGCUUACCAAGGCAACGAUGCGUAGCCGACCUGAGAGGGUGAUCGGCCACACUGGAACUGAGACACGGUCCAGACUCCUACGGGAGGCAGCAGUAGGGAAUCUUCCGCAAUGGGCGAAAGCCUGACGGAGCAACGCCGCGUGAGUGAUGAAGGUCUUCGGAUCGUAAAACUCUGUUAUUAGGGAAGAACAAAUGUGUAAGUAACUAUGCACGUCUUGACGGUACCUAAUCAGAAAGCCACGGCUAACUACGU
RNAcentral lists this ribosomal RNA (495 nucleotides) under uncultured bacterium. RNAcentral describes it as "partial 16S ribosomal RNA". It matches the Rfam family "Bacterial small subunit ribosomal RNA", at positions 29 to 506 of the family's 1533-position model. The record is from RNAcentral.